Molecule: long non-coding RNA, 3673 nt
Organism: Cyanistes caeruleus (blue tit)
Lineage: Eukaryota; Metazoa; Chordata; Aves; Passeriformes; Paridae
Source: RefSeq, a predicted model, not a curated record
GAGAACACAACCAACAGCAUCCCACCAUAUGCAUCUGUCCCCAUGCAGAGGUGGCGUCAGAUUUAUGGGGCACUGAUCACUCUUUUCCCCUCUUUCCCCCUCUUUUCCCUUGCAUGUAUGGCCCAAGAGUGCAGAUGGGUGCCAAAGAAUGCACUUUGAGUGAAGUGGCUCCAUGCUGCCAGGAUGGAGGGUGAAGUGGAUGCUGAGGACACUGUCACCCCACCACGGGUGAAACAGCUGGACCUCAGGUGCCCCAGGAUGAAAGCCUCAGCAAGACUGUCACUCAGCCUGAUGCUCCUGCAACACAUGAAGGCUGUGCAGACACCAGGAGACAGAAAUUUGCAAUGUUGAGAGAGAGCAUCUACAAUCAAUAUUACAAGCCGUGUUUGUUCUCAGCUCUGGCCUUGGGAAGAUGCUAAGAAUCAUAAGGAUUUCCAUUCUUCUCCAACCUGGAGGGAAAAAACCCAAAAACAUUUGUCCUGAACUAUUGCUGCUUCCAGAGAAAGUAAAAUCUUCCAAGGAUAUGGCUGAAGAAGCAGUAAAGUGAAGAUUCAUACCUAAGUUCAUAUCCUCCCCUGGCUAUCCUGUUACUACCUCUCCAUCCAGCUUCCCUGUCCUACUUCUCACUGUAAUCUAAAGCUUCUCUGCAUCAGCCAACAAAGCAGAAUUAGAAUCCUAACCAGCCAGGCUCAUCAGCCAGGUCUCUUCUUCACACGAUAGGGAGAGAUGGGUGACUCCACAGGGCUGCAGUCAUUCCCUGCACAAGUCCCACUUACUUCUGGAAGUGCAGAUAUGACGUUUCUGAACCUGCUGAUGCUAAACACCAUCAGAAGAUCAGAUCUGGCCUGUGGCAGAAACCUGGCAGAGAUAGUGUGGCUGGGACACAUCUCGGGUUACUCAGAUCACUGUGUGAUCCUGUUCAUACCCAAAGCUUUAAGUUCUUACUGCUGCCACAGGUGCGCCUGCCACACCCUGGUGUCUCUUUUGAUCAGGAAAAAGAUUUCCUGCAUUAGGAUGGAAAACUCAAAUAAUUUCUUAAGCUAUUUGAGGGGUCUUUUAGAAAUUCCAAACUUUACCCUUGCUGCUUCAAGCAGAGGGCUGGCAGGGUUGUAGAAGCAUGAAAACUUGGGACAACUUGGCGGCUAAGAGAUAACAAAUAUUAUCUCACUGUUUUACCAGGUUACUGAAUGUCUGCAGACAGCAUCCCUUAAGCUCUCAUGUCUUGUUAGCUUAAUCAAACCUGCCCAGAUUCAUGGAAUCACACAGUGGUUUGGAUUGGAAGGGACUUCAAAUGUCCAACUCACCUGCCAUGGGCAGGAACACCUUCCAACUGACCAGGCUGUUCUGGGUAGUGCCCAGCCUAUCCUCCCUGGCCUCCUGUGACCCAGCAGCUGAUGACCACACAGGGUCACACAGCCUCAAGAUGUGGCUCUACCAGGUGACCCAGCAUGUGGCACUUCGUGUACUCAGCCUGAGAUGCAUUGAAAACAGGGCAGAGAAGAUGUUUUCAAGCUUGACAUGUCCAGAGUAGAAAUCCUGUCUCCCUCUUUGAGCAAUGCUAGCUGGUUUGUUUUGGGUCACCACUGGAAUUCUCAGUCCAGGAGUGAAGCUCAGCCACAUGGCUCUGAGGAGGUUUGAGCAACAGCUACCUCCCCUGACCCUUGCAAGUGCGGUCUCCUCUUAUCCACAGGGCUCCAGCAGAAACAAAAUUUGCAACCAUCUUGCUUUUCUAGAGAAAGCAAGUGAAGAUGUCUGAUUGACUUCCUCUGCCUGCUUCGUUUCUCUACAUGUUCUGUUGCUGCUGUCAGAUCCAACUCUUGCCUGAGAAAGGCAGCCCCAAAUCUCCUCCUCCUUCCACAUAGGAACACAUUCAGCUUUUCUGUUUUCGUUUGCUUUUUAGAGGAUUUGUUUCCCCUCCAAUUUAAUCAAUCACUUUCUGAAUAUAACAUUUAUGUUUUGGCGUCAAACAUCCCACAGUAGAGUCAGCAUUAGAACUAUGCAUAGGGGGGAGAAAAAAAAUCACUGUUGCUGAUUUGCAGGGUGAUACUGGACUAUUUCAUUUGGUGCCACCUAGCUGAGAUACAGUAGAUGGCAACCAUGUAUUCACAGUCUUCAUCCUUUCCCAGGAGAUGCAAUACUUUGCUAUAAGAGAAGAGUUUAAAAUGCUCUGUAGGACUCAUCUCUGAGCAUCCCUCCUGCCCCUUGCACAUUUUCCUGUUGUACCAUCUCCUGUCUGGAAAAGGUAAGAACUGCACUGGUGUUCAGUGAGCAAACCAAGCAGAAGGAUCUCAGCUCCAGCUCCCCAACAUCCUUCUGGAUGGGUUCAACCUACAGAUCUACUGUGAGACAGGAAGAAUAAGGGCAUGGUCAUUUUGCCUGCCUAGUUUCUAUAUUUGCCAGACACCAAAUUCUUUCAAGGUAGAUGGAAACUGGAACAAGGGUCAAACUCUCCUCACAGAUUUUAAAGACAGAUUUAGAGCAAAAUGGUGCUUUAAGGACACACAGUUUAUUUCUGUGGAGUUCAGGAAAUGAAUACACAGUUGCAGAAAACACUGUUUUCUUCAUUUUAACAAUACCAACUGAUAAGCAUGGUGGGCUCACUUUGACACAGCCCUGGGCUGGGGUUUUGAUGCACCAGUGACUGAAAGCCAGUCCCACUCCCUUUCAAGAGAAGCAGUGAAAGCCACUCUUGUGUUAAAGGCUGAAAAUAUGGGGUGAUUCUCCCUUGGUAGGAAAACAGGGAAUUUAAGGGCCAUCAGAUUUUCUUUCCCUUUUGGAAAAAACAGCCAUAUCACACUGUCAAGUAUAAACAUAAGCAUGUCUGAAGCUGUUGGAGCCAAUGAGACCAUAAAUAUCAAUCUAAAACCACAGGAGUCUUGUCUGUAGGCCAGUGUUAAAGUUAGGGUGAGCAGUACCCUCCCAGCUUAACCCCGUGGGAAAGUGGCAUGUUCUCUCUUUAUAAGAUUGUGGUUCUAGAAAGUUCCCCAGUUCUUUCCUCUGAUUGGUUUUGGAGUGUCACGUUGUUCUGCAUAUUCCUAAUCAUUGUUUCUUAUUGGACCCUUACCCUCAGAUUCCACCCCAAACCUACCCCUUAUAUACUUUAUAUAUAAAUAUAUAUAUUUGUGCUUACCUUGGCCCUGGCCUUUGGAGUUCACCCUACACUUGCUGGUCAGAUUACCUCAUUUGUUGUUUUACCCUCAUUUACCCUCAUGUUUCAGGUUACUCCAUCGUGCCCGUCCUUUUGUUUUAUCAUCACCAUUACUCUUGACCGACAUGGUCCCGAGGUGGGAGCCAACCAGACCUCGGCCAGGUUCCUACACCAAGCAGCAGGAAAUCUUACAAACUGGGCGUCUUCUAACGCUCUUUCAGUUUUGGCAUCAAGCUCAGGAGGUUCAUGGCUGCACCAUCCAGUCCUCAGGGAUCUCCUGUCCCUUAUCAGUGCAAUCCUAUGGAUGUGCUGACUUUUACAGUGUUGCUGCCUGCCCACAGUAUACAGAGAAACUGAACACAGCCCCUCUGGGCUCACUCUCAAUUUCGUAUUUCAGUCAGGUCUUUUACUGGGAAUUAUACAGCAUUUUACUGACAGGACUGUGUAAACAGUUUAACCCCCUGCAGAACAUAAUCAGGCUUUCCCUUGUAUUUUUUAUGGAAUUAAUAAACAGAUUUGAGCUUU